Molecule: long non-coding RNA, 217 nt
Filed under: Elaeis guineensis (African oil palm)
Lineage: Eukaryota; Viridiplantae; Streptophyta; Magnoliopsida; Arecales; Arecaceae
Description: long non-coding RNA (EGUI_LNC060130)
Source: RNAcentral
AUGGAUUAGAUCUGAUCUAAAUACCAUAUUGAGGAUCUUGAUAUGAACAUGCUAUCUUGAUCUGAAAUAUGAAAAGAAAAUCAAAUGUCAGCAAAAUAAAAUCGAAGAUCAGAUCUCCACACCUUCAGAUCCUGUGGAUGUCCGAAGUUUCGAUCGUAGCCACACACACACCUGACCUCUACUGAUAUCCAUAUGGAGAUAUUUGAUUGGACCACUG